UAUUAUUUACUGAUUCAAAUCGUUAGAGUUCAAAACAAAAUUCCAAGCCCUCUUUUCAAUUAGAAACCCUAACCCCAACCAUUUCAAAAUUUUAUUAAUGCGCGAUUUAUCCUUGUUUGUUCGAUUUUCUCAUCGUUGCUUGUGAAGUUGUGUUCCUCUCUGCUCUGUCGCCGUCGCGCUUGUCGCUGUCGCGCCGUCGUGCUCGUCGCUACUCGCAUCGGCGCAUCGCCAUCGUGCUCGUUCGUUGCUCACAUCGUCGUCGUGUUCGUCACUGCUCUGCAUUUCCUCAUCGUUGCUUCUGAAGUUGUGUUACUCGCUGCUCGCGUUGUCGUCGUGCUCGUCUCUGCUCGCGCGCCGUCGUGCUUGUUGCUGCUCGUGCGCCUUUGUACUCGUCGCUCUGCAUUUUGAGCUUUUGAAUUUUGCUCUGCUCGAUUCCAAUUUGCUCGCCUUCUUCUACUUGCGACGUUUUUCUUGGCCCCUGGCUAGGUGCUGAUAUGCUCUGCUCCCCCGUGGUGCUCGUACUCUUUCCAUCACAGAUAUGCUCCUUACUUUACUCAGCUUUGUUAUGGCUGAAGUUGAUGAGAAAUUCUGGUGUUGGAGUUGGCUGAGAAUGCUUCCGGUUCAAUCAAUUUGCUGAGGAGGAAGAGGUUGAUAGAUUCAGCAAAGUUCAAGAGAGUUUUUUGAGUAGUUCUUCAACUCUCAGUAUACUUGAAUUAAUGAAUUAUGAGAAAAUCAACCCUCGAAUGUGCAGAAAUUCUACAACAUCACUAAAGAUAUAUACACGAAAUCACAGAUAAAUUUUAAAAAAUAAGUUUUCUUUCACUAAGAUUUUUU
Non-coding RNA from Arachis ipaensis, 834 nucleotides. Lineage: Eukaryota; Viridiplantae; Streptophyta; Magnoliopsida; Fabales; Fabaceae. The record is from RefSeq and is a predicted model, not a curated record.